UCUUUCUUUCCCUUUCCACUUUUUCGCUUACACUUUCCCCCAACUCAUCAUCACUUUAAAAAUAUCUCACACCACAUAAACACUUAACCCGACCCGAUUACCCGAAUACCCGACCCGGUCCAUCCCAAUGUCAGGAACCACCACCGUUUCCUCCGGAGACCUCAACAACCUCCGUCUCCCAACCCCAACGCUCGACGCCGAAUCGCAGUCCCUGCUGCAAUCAAUCUCAGCUCAAGGCGGUUACGCCUAUGCUCGCAUGGCGGCGCUAGCUGUUUCCGGCGACAAAAGCGCGGCGGAGGCGGCGCGUGAUAUGGCUUGGGAGCAACUUCACUCUGGUCCAUGGCACUCGGUUCUCCCUGUAUGGCGCGACGCUUACUCAAUGGCUUGUCUCCACGUCGCUAAAAUCCACUUCGCCGCCGGCGAGUUUGGUGAGGCCCUUGGUGCGCUUGAUAUGGGUCUUAUCAUGGGAGGGAUGCUUCUCCGCAAGGAUCUUCACGAUUCUGUUUUAUUGGUCUCCUCUGAAGCUCGUAAGAAGACUAAGAGCCUUGAAGAAGCUUCUGGAGAUUUCAAGGGUGAGAAAUUGGUCCCGGAAGUUCCCGUCGACGUUAAUGAGGUGCUUAAGAUUCUACCUUGCAGGUCGUUAAGUUGUAGAAGAGUAGAGAAGAGGUCUGAUUUAUCUUUGGAGGGGUUCCUGCGUGAUUAUUUUCAGUCAGGUACACCAGUUGUAAUAACCAAUUGUAUGGCUCAUUGGCCAGCCAGGACCAAGUGGAACCACUUGGACUACCUCAAUACUGUUGCUGGUUACCGAACCGUUCCCGUGGAGGUGGGGAAAAACUAUUUGUGUUCUGAUUGGAAGCAAGAGCUUGUGACGUUUUCUCAGUUCCUUGAACGGAUUCGAACCAAUAAAUCUUCUUCCAUGGAACCUACUUAUCUUGCCCAGCAUUCGUUGUUUGAUCAGAUAAACGAACUGAAAGAUGAUAUAUGUAUUCCUGAUUACUGUUUUGUCGGUGGCGGGGAAAUCCAAUCUCUUAAUGCGUGGUUUGGCCCGGCUGGGACAGUUACUCCAUUACACCAUGAUCCACAUCACAAUAUACUUGCUCAGGUUGUUGGCAAGAAGUAUAUAAGGCUUUACCCAUCCUCCCUGCAAGACGAACUUUACCCUUACUCUGAGACAAUGCUCUGCAACUCUAGCCAGGUUGAUCUGGACAAUAUAGACAAGACCGAGUUCCCAAAGGCAACGGAGUUGGAGUUUAUGGAUUGUAUUCUAGAAGAAGGUGAAAUGCUGUACAUCCCUCCCAAAUGGUGGCACUAUGUCAGGUCCUUAACCAUGAGUUUCUCGGUCAGCUUCUGGUGGAGCAACGAAACAGAUUCCUCUAGCUCGUAACGAAAGGAGUUAUUUUUAAUCUCUGUUUCAGGUUCGAAGUUCACUUUGUGUCUUAUAUACAGAAUUAUAUAAGAUCUUAAGAUGGGAUUAAAGAAGAAAGUAAGUGUAGAAGAAAACAAUUGCUCCGAGCAUGAAGAUGUUUGUUUUGGUUUACGUCUAUGUUGUAAAAGACAAAUUGAGAGCUCUUGGGUACAGACAUUUUUUAGGUUUUAAAUACCUGGCGACGACCUAAUCAACGCUUUGGAGUUCGUGGAUGAAUAAUACUCAUAACUAAAAGCAAUAAUUGUAAUUUAAUUUCUUAGACACGUAACCCGCAACAACUCAGUUGUCUAAUGACCCUCAGAUGUAAAUUUAACCCCCAGCGUCACAAUUCUUUCUUUUUCCCGCCUUUGUUUUAUUAGACAAGAUUCAAUACGUCUUUGUAGUAGUAGUAGACGUAGAAAAUUAUGAGUGGAUUUUGAAAAUACAGUUAAGAACCAUAUUUCAGUCCUA
Camelina sativa (false flax) is the source of this 1876-nucleotide RNA transcript. It is a transcript of the gene named lysine-specific demethylase JMJ30, with no coding region annotated. The record is from RefSeq and is a predicted model, not a curated record. NCBI's taxonomy places the organism in Eukaryota, Viridiplantae, Streptophyta, Magnoliopsida, Brassicales, Brassicaceae.